AGAGUUUGAUCCUGGCUCAGGAUGAACGCUGGCGGCGUGCUUAACACAUGCAAGUCGAACGAAGCAUCUUCACGGAAUUCCUUCGGGAAGGAAGCGAUUAUGACUGAAUGGCGGACGGGUGAGUAACGCGUGGAUAACCUGCCUCACACAGGGGGAUAACAGUUAGAAAUGACUGCUAAUACCGCAUAAGCGCACAGCAUCGCAUGGUGCAGUGUGAAAAGCUCCGGCGGUGUGAGAUGGAUCCGCGUCUGAUUAGGCAGUUGGCGGGGUAGAGGCCCACCAAACCGACGAUCAGUAGCCGGCCUGAGAGGGCGACCGGCCACAUUGGGACUGAGACACGGCCCAGACUCCUACGGGAGGCAGCAGUGGGGAAUAUUGCACAAUGGGGGAAACCCUGAUGCAGCGACGCCGCGUGAGCGAAGAAGUAUCUCGGUAUGUAAAGCUCUAUCAGCAGGGAAGAAGAAUGACGGUACCUGACUAAGAAGCCCCGGCUAACUACGUGCCAGCAGCCGCGGUAAUACGUAGGGGGCAAGCGUUAUCCGGAAUUACUGGGUGUAAAGGGAGCGUAGGCGGCAUGGUAAGCCAGAUGUGAAAGCCUUGGGCUUAACCCGAGGAUUGCAUUUGGAACUAUCAAGCUAGAGUACAGGAGAGGAAAGCGGAAUUCCUAGUGUAGCGGUGAAAUGCGUAGAUAUUAGGAAGAACACCAGUGGCGAAGGCGGCUUUCUGGACUGAAACUGACGCUGAGGCUCGAAAGCGUGGGGAGCAAACAGGAUUAGAUACCCUGGUAGUCCACGCCGUAAACGAUGAGUGCUAGGUGUCGGGGAGGAAUCCUCGGUGCCGCAGCUAACGCAAUAAGCACUCCACCUGGGGAGUACGACCGCAAGGUUGAAACUCAAAGGAAUUGACGGGGGCCCGCACAAGCGGUGGAGCAUGUGGUUUAAUUCGAAGCAACGCGAAGAACCUUACCAAGGCUUGACAUCCCGAUGGCCGUCCUAGAGAUAGGACUUCUCUUCGGAGCAUCGGUGACAGGUGGUGCAUGGUUGUCGUCAGCUCGUGUCGUGAGAUGUUGGGUUAAGUCCCGCAACGAGCGCAACCCUUAUCUUCAGUAGCCAUCAUUCAGUUGGGCACUCUGGAGAGACUGCCGUGGAUAACACGGAGGAAGGUGGGGAUGACGUCAAACCAUCAUGCCCCUUAUGUCUUGGGCUACACACGUGCUACAAUGGCUGGUAACAAAGUGACGCGAGACGGCGACGUUAAGCAAAUCACAAAAACCCAGUCCCAGUUCGGAUUGUAGUCUGCAACUCGACUACAUGAAGCUGGAAUCGCUAGUAAUCGCGAAUCAGCAUGUCGCGGUGAAUACGUUCCCGGGCCUUGCACACACCGCCCGUCA
RNAcentral lists this ribosomal RNA (1390 nucleotides) under uncultured bacterium. RNAcentral describes it as "bacterial SSU rRNA". It matches the Rfam family "Bacterial small subunit ribosomal RNA". The record is from RNAcentral.